This 858-nucleotide ribosomal RNA is filed under the name uncultured marine bacterium. RNAcentral's name for it is "bacterial SSU rRNA". It matches the Rfam family "Bacterial small subunit ribosomal RNA", at positions 8 to 916 of the family's 1533-position model. The record is from RNAcentral.
AGAGUUUGAUCCUGGCUCAGAACGAACGCUGGCGGCAGGCCUAACACAUGCAAGUCGAGCGCGCCUUCGGGUGAGCGGCGGACGGGUUAGUAACGCGUGGGAACGUGCCCUUUUCUACGGAAUAGCCUCUGGAAACGGAGAGUAAUACCGUAUACGCCCUUUGGGGGAAAGAUUUAUCGGAGAAGGAUCGGCCCGCGUUAGAUUAGGUAGUUGGUGGGGUAACGGCCUACCAAGCCUACGAUCUAUAGCUGGUUUUAGAGGAUGAUCAGCAACACUGGGACUGAGACACGGCCCAGACUCCUACGGGAGGCAGCAGUGGGGAAUCUUAGACAAUGGGGGCAACCCUGAUCUAGCCAUGCCGCGUGAGUGAUGAAGGCCUUAGGGUCGUAAAGCUCUUUCGCCUGUGAUGAUAAUGACAGUAGCAGGUAAAGAAACCCCGGCUAACUCCGUGCCAGCAGCCGCGGUAAUACGGAGGGGGUUAGCGUUGUUCGGAAUUACUGGGCGUAAAGCGCGCGUAGACGGAUUAGAAAGUUGGGGGUGAAAUCCCGGGGCUCAACCCCGGAACUGCCUCCAAAACUGCUAGUCUAGAGUUCGAGAGAGGUGAGUGGAAUUCCGAGUGUAGAGGUGAAAUUCGUAGAUAUUCGGAGGAACACCAGUGGCGAAGGCGGCUCACUGGCUCGAUACUGACGCUGAGGUGCGAAAGUGUGGGGAGCAAACAGGAUUAGAUACCCUGGUAGUCCACACCGUAAACGAUAAAUGCCAGUCGUCGGAUAGUAUACUAUUCGGUGACACACCUAACGGAUUAAGCAUUCCGCCUGGGGAGUACGGUCGCAAGACUAAAACUCAAGGAAUUGACGG